CAGCUUCACCUGGAGCCUGGAACUCCAUUGCAGGGCUGCAGGAAACUGGGUGAAAAUCCGCUCCCUAAUCUCUGCUUGUGUAGACGCCUGUCCAAAAACACUUACUCCAGAGUAGCUUAUACCAGAGUAAAUUUGGCCCCAAGUAAAUGCAUGUAUAGAUGCAUCCACUAGAAAUCAAAUAUAACUUUAGAAAAGACAUGAUCUUGGCUUUGAAUGCUUCCUUUUUUUUCUUGUACAGAUAAGGACAGGAAGAGAAAGAGAUAAGAAAAUAGCUGAAGUUAAUGGACACUUUGGACACAUUCAGCGACAAGUUUUGGCCUUUCAAAAAUCCCCUUUGGCUUCUGACCUGCAUAUUUUAUGAUGAAACUUCUUUUGAGUAAAUUAUUGCAGAAAAUUAAAUGGAAUUUCAGCUUCCUUUAUGCUCUACUCAUAUUUCCCUGAAGAUUUAGCUUAUGUGUUGUGAGAGCACAGAAUACAGACAACCAUGAUCUAUGAGAGUCUUUUGAAGACUCAAGAACAACAUAAGGAACAACGGGAGGAACAUGUGGCACUGAGAGAGAUUCACUACAAAUCCAAGCAAACGUCAGGAAUAUGAACAUCCAUGAACUCCCUGAGAGAGCUCAUCUCAUCUUACACAUAGCAGCUUCCAAGACAGUGCCCUUCAACCCAAGUAACAGAGACCCCAGUGCUGCAAAUGCGUAUGUGCUUAACUUUGAGUAGGAAUCAGGACUCAUGGUAGAAGUGAUUUGUUUUAUUAGACCAACUAGAUUUUUGCAAAAA
This 780-nucleotide long non-coding RNA is filed under the name Crocodylus porosus (Australian saltwater crocodile). RNAcentral describes it as "lncRNA (ENSCPRG00005013801.1)". The record is from RNAcentral. Lineage: Eukaryota; Metazoa; Chordata; Crocodylia; Crocodylidae.